Molecule: ribosomal RNA, 406 nt
Filed under: uncultured bacterium
Lineage: Bacteria
Description: partial 16S ribosomal RNA
Rfam family: Bacterial small subunit ribosomal RNA
Source: RNAcentral
AUUGAACGCUGGCGGCAGGCCUAACACAUGCAAGUCGGGCGAGAGGCGGACGGGUGAGUAAUGUAUGGGGAUCUGCCUGAUGGCGGGGGAUAACUACUGGAAACGGUAGCUCAUACCGCAUACCGUCAGAUGAACCCAUCUGGGAUUAGCUAGUAGGUAAGGUAACGGCUUACCUCGGCGACGAUCCCUAGCUGGUCUGCGAGGAUGAUCAGCCACACUGGGACUGAGACACGGCCCAGACUCACACGGGAGGCAGCAGUGGGGAAUAUUGCACAAUGGGAGCAAGCCGGAUGCAGCCAUGCCGCGUGUAUGAAGAAGGCCUUAGGGUUGUAAAGUACUUUCAGUCGGGAGUCGUUACCGACAGAAGAAGCACCGGCUAACUCCGUGCCAGCAGCCGCGGUAAUAC